RNAcentral lists this long non-coding RNA (977 nucleotides) under Setaria italica (foxtail millet). Its description in RNAcentral is "long non-coding RNA (SITA_LNC004643)". The record is from RNAcentral. Lineage: Eukaryota; Viridiplantae; Streptophyta; Magnoliopsida; Poales; Poaceae.
CAGUUUCUACUGCCAUCUUCUGAACGCCUCUUGCUAGUUCAUCAGAUAUUGCCCUUGGAACCCCUGCAUGCUUAUGGCCUGUCUCCUCUUGUUCUGCAGGAACUAGCACGUCUCCCUUGUGCUUCCAUUGGCUUCCUUUACACACACACACACUUAAAACCCUUCUCUGAGACAAUGUUCAGAAAAAAAAAUUUAUCACUCAAAUCCUGGGCUGGAAUUGGCUCCUUCAAACCCCAUGCCGUACUCAAGUUUGCAUGCAUAGCUAGCUGAUUGCAUCUCUGAUCCGAACAGUACCGAUCAGGCGGUAACCACUUCUUCUUUAUCUCCUCCUCCAUAUCCCCCAUAUCAGUCUCAAUGAUAUCAUCAUCUUUCUCCUGUAUCUUCUUCAUGAGCAGUGCUGAAAGAAUUCCACUGGAGGCCUUGAGGCAAUACAACAAACACCUUGUGUGCAGGGUGGAGCAAGGAUCAAUUCGUAACAUUGUUAGUGGCUGACUUUGCAAGUAGAUCUUCUCUCCUUUUCUGAGUCCUUCAUCUCCCUCUAUAACCUGCGUCUUGACACAUCAAAUUACUGCCUGUAAUCACCUGUAAUUUUGCUUUCUUGAAAGCAUGGGGCGUGGGUUCCUUCCUCUCUUCAUGACUUGCUUUAGCGGCACCAGGUUGAGAUCGUGGUGCGCUCCCAGGACCCGGAUCGGGCGGAUUCUUGUAGACAUCUUCCAGAAUGCUGGCUACUUUCAACUUUAGGCCAUCUACCCUCUGUCUUAGGAUCCGGAAUCGAACUACAAGAUCACUUGAUAUUUCAGUAGCUCUAUUGGCUCUAUUUCGGGUUCCUGCAUGGUCUUGAGAUUUUGCUUGGAUGGGUUUGACGCUUUCUCUUUGGUGGUUCGAUUUCUGUUGGUUUCGGGUUUCAUGGAAUUGGCUAUGGCGAUCUACAAGAUGGGGUUUCAGAUCGCCUGGGCGACGAACAGACGUGGACGCGG